AGAGAGAGUGUGGUCUUAUAAAGAGGGGGAGAGAGUGACAUAACGAGUUGGAGGGAAAUUCUUUUGAUAAGGUGAAGUAUCUUUGGGAGUGAGAGCAAAACAAACUAUUCUAGCCUUUAUUUUCUUUUAAAUAAAUUUAUUUUUCUCUCUCAAAUUUUUCUUCCAACGAUUCUUCCAUAUUAUUUUUUUGUGCUUCUCUUGGAUCCUAGGCCAACAUGAUAGAUCUACACUGAGUAGUAUGCCAUUCUACAUGGUAUCAGAGCGAGAUUGAAGUGUGGUCAAUUGGUUUGGGGCUUCGAUUAGAUAUAAUCAGAGCACAACUUUUGGAGCGGCAGCUUGAUUGUUGGUGGUUUAAGGUGAUUAUUCAGCAUGGUUCAAGAGCUUCCGGUAAUUCAUUGUGUGCAUCGACUUUAUUGUGAUUCACAUCAUGAUGGUUGACUUCAACAACAUCAACAUGGCUGCUUUUGCUACCACCACUUGUCUCCUUAAGUUGAACAACAAAUUAUCCAAGGUGCAAGUCUAUGAUCAAAGCAUAUCUGAUGGGACAAGAUUUGUGGAACAUCUUAAAAGAGUCAAAAGGAUGCCAACAGAUACCUUUGAUAAUGAGAUUACAAAAAAAAGUGGAGUCUCAAAUCUAAGAAGGUGAUGUGAAUUAUCAAAGCUAUGGUGGAUAGAGAAAAUUACCUCCAUAUCUAAAGAUAUAAAAGAGCCAAAAAAAGUGUGGGAUAUUCUUGUGGCUGUUUACUCAAGACUAGCAUGUGAGAAAGCAUGGGAUAUUCUAGUGGCUGUUCACUUAAGAUCUAGCAAGAUGAGAAAUCAAGAUGUUCUCAAACAAAAGUUGCCCAAAGAGUGGGUUUUGGUUUUAGGCUUCCUCGACAACCCAAAAGAAGAGCAGAACUGGUUUAAAAAUAAAGAUUUGAAGCAUGAUGAGCUUAAUCAGGUAGAGACUGGAUCAAAUUUAGAAGACUCAGA
RNAcentral lists this long non-coding RNA (972 nucleotides) under Phoenix dactylifera (date palm). RNAcentral's name for it is "long non-coding RNA (PDAC_LNC013203)". Lineage: Eukaryota; Viridiplantae; Streptophyta; Magnoliopsida; Arecales; Arecaceae. The record is from RNAcentral.